UACGGAGGGUGCAAGCGUUAUCCGGAUUCACUGGGUUUAAAGGGUGCGUAGGCGGGCAGGUAAGUCCGUGGUGAAAUCUCUGAGCUUAACUCAGAAACUGCCAUGGAUACUAUUUGUCUUGAAUAUUGUGGAGGUAAGCGGAAUAUGUCAUGUAGCGGUGAAAUGCUUAGAUAUGACAUAGAACACCAAUUGCGAAGGCAGCUGGCUACACAAAUAUUGACACUGAGGCACGAAAGCGUGGGGAGCAAACAGG
RNAcentral lists this ribosomal RNA (253 nucleotides) under uncultured bacterium. Its description in RNAcentral is "partial 16S ribosomal RNA". It matches the Rfam family "Bacterial small subunit ribosomal RNA", at positions 524 to 776 of the family's 1533-position model. The record is from RNAcentral.